RNA transcript from Triticum aestivum (bread wheat), 2025 nucleotides. It is a transcript of the gene named DNA polymerase lambda, with no coding region annotated. The transcript is spliced from 14 exons. Lineage: Eukaryota; Viridiplantae; Streptophyta; Magnoliopsida; Poales; Poaceae. The record is from RefSeq and is a predicted model, not a curated record.
AGUACUCCUACUAUCCAGAACAACCUUCCAUAAAAAAAAAAGGAAUGCUCUAGAACAACCUAAAACCUCAAAACCCCAGUGGCGACGGAGCGAGGAGGGAGGGAGCGAUGGCGCCGAAGCGGAAGCCAGCGGAGCCGCCGAGGGACGCCGAGGGGAUAUUCCGCGGCGUCUCCGCCUUCUUCGUCCCCCACGGCGUGCAGCCCCGCCGCCUCGAGGUGUGGAAGCAGAAGCUGGUGCAGAUGGGGGGCCGCCUGGAGAAGAAGGACGCCGGCGCCAAGGGCGCCAGGAUCAACCACGUGCUCGCCGCCGACGCCAAGGCGCUGCUCCGGGAGCUCGGCGCCGACUGGCUUCACCGCUUCACGGGGAGCGUGGUGUCCUUCGAUUGGCUGGAGGAGUGCCUCAAGUCCGGCGAGAGGCUGCCCGAGCACAAGUUCACCAUCAACUACGAAGAGGAAUUUAAACCCAAAAAGGCAGCUGGUACAGGCGCGUCAAAUCCUGCAAAGAGGAGCAAAAUGUCAUCCGAGGAUCCUGAGAGUCACAAAGCAAUUAGUGGACAUGAUGGGAAGGAGGAGGUGGCUACCGGGGAGCAUCGAGACAAAACAAGUACACAUGUGCAUGAUGGUUCAGGUGUCGAAAAGGGGCCUGGCCAGUUUGCACAUAGCCAGACUAGCUCUGGGGAUACUAAGGAUACCGUAGGGUCUCUUGAUACUGAGGAAGCUUCUUCUGGGGAACCCACAACAUAUGCUCCACCAGACCUCAAUAGGAACAUCACUGAGAUUUUUGGAAAACUUAUCAACAUAUAUAGAGCCAUGGGAGAUGACCGGAGAUCAUUUAGCUAUUACAAGGCCAUUCCUGUAAUCGAGAAACUGCCAUUCAAAAUAGAAAGUGGCGACCAAGUUAAAAACCUCCCUGCCAUUGGGAAAUCUUUGAGAGACCAUAUUAAUGAAAUAGUGACAACAGGAAAGCUUUCCAAACUGGAACACUUUGAGAAUGAUGAAAAGGUACGGGCAGUCAGCCUAUUCGGUGAAGUUUGGGGUGUUGGUCCUGCAACUGCUCUUAAGUUAUAUGAUAAAGGACACCGUACUCUUGAUGACCUUCGGAAAGAUGACUCACUUACAUAUGCUCAGAGGACUGGCUUGAAAUUCUUUGAUGAUAUCAGACAAAGAAUCCCUCGGCAUGAGGUCAGUGAGAUGGAGAAGCUUUUGCAAGAAGUUGGGAAUGAUAUCUUGCCUGGAGUGACAAUUGUAUGCGGAGGAUCAUACAGACGUGGAAAAUCAUCUUGUGGUGACAUGGAUAUUGUAAUUACUCAUGAUGAUGGUAAAAGUCAUGUAGGUUUUCUGCCGAAGUUUGUUCAGAGGUUGAAGGACAUCAAUUUUUUAAGGGAGGACCUUAUCUUCAGCGUAAACAGUAUUGAGGGAACUGACAGCGGGGUUGACACAUAUUUUGGUCUUUGCACGUAUCCUGGGCGUGAGCUGCGGCAUCGCAUUGACCUCAAGUUCACUUCAUGUCGGCGUCUGCCGUUUGAUGUUGACAGGUAUACCCAAGGAACAGAUAUGCAUCCGGGCUGCUAGCCUGGACUGGAAAUGAUGUUCUAAAUCGACGAUUGAGAAUACUAGCAGAAUCAAAAGGCUACGUGCUUGAUGACACGGGUUUGUAUCUUGCUACACAGAGCAGUGGUGGAAAGCGCGCAGGGAGAUCAGAAGCUAUAGUUAACUGCCACGAGGAGAAGGACGUGUUCGACACGCUUGGGUUCCCCUACUUGGAACCUCAUGAACGAAAUCUAUAGUUCUGAAGGAAAAUGUAGCUUUGCCAAGCAUGUGUAGUUUUGCUUCUCCUUGUACCGCAGGCCGGCUGGUAGCUGUUUCCAAGGCUGUGCAGCAAACCUUUGUUGGAGACGGUAGUCUGGCAGGCUCGUACAUAGUUGUUGUUCUCUGUUGUACUGUAGGGCAGUAAGGAGAAUGUUGCUCAUGCCGCAUGAAUCUAUGGACAAGUUUCUAGCUAUUUUGUCGUACGACCGUUUUCUUU